AGAGUUUGAUCCUGGCUCAGAAUCAACGCUGGCGGCGUGCCUAACACAUGCAAGUCGAACGAGAAAGCGGGGGCAACUCCGCGAGUAAAGUGGCGACCGGGUGAGUAACACGUGACUAACCUGCCCUCGAGUGGGGAAUAACCCCGGGAAACCGGGGCUAAUACCGCAUAACAUCCUCGAUACGAAAGUAUUGAGGAUCA
Molecule: ribosomal RNA, 200 nt
Filed under: uncultured bacterium
Lineage: Bacteria
Description: partial 16S ribosomal RNA
Rfam family: Bacterial small subunit ribosomal RNA
Source: RNAcentral